Regulatory RNA element from Buttiauxella agrestis ATCC 33320, 114 nucleotides. It matches the Rfam family "RtT RNA". From Rfam's summary of the family: This family represents a bacterial cis-regulatory element known as RtT RNA. The exact function of RtT is unknown although it is thought that it may be involved in changing the cellular response in relation to amino acid starvation. NCBI's taxonomy places the organism in Bacteria, Pseudomonadati, Pseudomonadota, Gammaproteobacteria, Enterobacterales, Enterobacteriaceae. The record is from Rfam.
UACGUCUGUAGUUUAAAGAGGAUAAGAAUCUCCGAAGGAGGUUUGAGCCGAGCGAAGCGAGACAACGUUGCUUUAGCAACGGCCCGCAGGGGAAUAAUCCUCUCUCGCCGACCA